CCCUUAGAUGUCCGGGGCCGCACGCGCGCUACACUGAAGCAAUCAGCGUGGCUUUCUCCCUGACCCGAAAGGGUUGGGAAACCCGUUGAAUCUCCUUCGUGAUAGGGAUUGGGGCUUGAAAUUGUUCCCCAUGAACGAGGAAUUCCCAGUAAGCGCGAGUCAUAAGCUCGCGUUGAUUACGUCCCUGCCCUUUGUACACACCGCCCGUCGCUACUACCGAUUGAACGGUUUAGUGAGGGCCUCGGAUUGGUCUCGGCCCGCUCUUUACCGGGCGGCGCCGUUGGUCGAGAAGACGCUCGAACUUGAUCGUUUAGAGGAAGUAAAAGUCGUAACA
RNAcentral lists this ribosomal RNA (334 nucleotides) under uncultured eukaryote. Its description in RNAcentral is "partial 18S ribosomal RNA". It matches the Rfam family "Eukaryotic small subunit ribosomal RNA", at positions 1470 to 1796 of the family's 1831-position model. The record is from RNAcentral.